ACGGGGUGCAGCAGGCGCGAAAACUUCGCAAUGCGGGAAACCGUGACGAGGGGAUCCUGAGUGCCCGCACUAAGGUGCGGGCUUUUCUUGAGUCUAAACAGCUCUUGGAAUAAGGUCUGGGCAAGACCGGUGCCAGCAGCCGCGGUAACACCGGCGGAUCGAGUGGUGACCACAUUUACUUGGCUUAAAGCGUUCGUAGCUGGAUGCGUGCAUUUCUGGUGAAAUCUAGCGACUCAAUCGUUAGGCGUGCCCGAAACACGGCGCAUCUUGGGACCGGAAGAGGUUAGCGGAAUUGUAGGGGUAAGGGUAAAAUCUGUUGAUCCCUGCAGGACCACCGAUAGCGAAGGCAGCUAACUAGUACGGCUCCGACAGUGAGGGACGAAACCCUGGGUAGCGAACCGGAUUAGAUACCCGGGUAGUCCAGGGCGUAAACGAUGUCAACUGGGUGUCGCGUUCGAUACGUUCGAAUUGCGGUGCCGAAGGGAAACCGUUAAGUUGACCGCCUGGGGAGUACGGUCGCAAGGCUGAAACUUAAAGGAAUUGGCGGGGGAGCACUACAAGGGGUGGAAGCUGCGGUUUAAUUAGAUUCAACGCUGGACAUCUCACCGGAGGCGACAGCAGUAUGAAGGUCAGGCUGAUGGUCUUACCGGACACGCUGAGAGGAGGUGCAUGGCCGUCGUCAGCUCGUGCCGUA
RNAcentral lists this ribosomal RNA (694 nucleotides) under uncultured archaeon. Its description in RNAcentral is "bacterial SSU rRNA". It matches the Rfam family "Archaeal small subunit ribosomal RNA", at positions 325 to 1018 of the family's 1478-position model. The record is from RNAcentral.